RNAcentral lists this long non-coding RNA (592 nucleotides) under Daphnia magna. RNAcentral describes it as "uncharacterized LOC123474069". Lineage: Eukaryota; Metazoa; Arthropoda; Branchiopoda; Diplostraca; Daphniidae. The record is from RNAcentral.
ACGAGCUUCACGAGAGCUUGAGCUUUAGCUCAAAAGCUCACUCAUUUUGUGAGCUUUGAGCUUGAGCUUCGCUCUUUUUGAAAAAGUGUGAGCUUGAGCUUGAGCUUUUGCCUCAUGAGCGGAAGCUCACGCUUGUGGCGCCAUCUAGUGGCCAAAAUUAAAAGUGGUUGCCGAAAUGAGACAAGUCUCCACGUUUGGAGGUGGAAAGCUGUCUGUGCUACUUGCUAAUAGCCUAGCCUAUACUAGUUGCUUAUGCUUACAGUUACAGCUUAGUGAUUGAACUGAACAAAUAAAAACAUAAACUUGAAAUCUGAAACUGAAAGUCUUAAACUCUUUAGAGAGUAGAGACUAAUGAAAAAUGGCGUCAAAAAAGCGAACAGCUUCUACAAGUUUACAAAGUCAAAGUCAUGUGGGUGCUGUAGGUGGUGAUGAUCAAGUUGAUUGUGAAACUGUAAAUGUAGAGAAUAAUGAUUCUGGCAGCGAUGGGCAUGAUUCUGGCAGAUUUGUCAUUCUCAUUCAAUGUUAGACCAUUGAGCAUUGACCGCUUUCUCAUGAAAGCAAAUCUGAAAAAAAUACACUGUUUUGAUUGUCA